Non-coding RNA from Triticum urartu, 3453 nucleotides. The record is from RefSeq and is a predicted model, not a curated record. NCBI's taxonomy places the organism in Eukaryota, Viridiplantae, Streptophyta, Magnoliopsida, Poales, Poaceae.
GUUCCUUCCUGCAUUUAGUGGCAGGGUUUAUAGAGGCAGCGAUGGUUACUCCUCCUGUUGUUCGGUUUGGUCGGGGCCGGCGGGGCGUCCUCCAGGGAUCCGGGCGGCUGUUAUCGCCCGUGUGCGUAAUGGCUGCGGUCGUUUCCCUCCCGCGGAUCAUCCCACAGUAAUGGAAGAGGUUGUUGUCCGCGAUGAAUUGCCUGUUGUUCAUUUAAGGUGUCGUUGCCGCCGUGCGGUUCGCCGGCCGUUGCGUUCUGGACGGGUUGGUAAGUUCAUUCAGCCUACUCGAGUAUUUGCAAGCUUAUUUAGUAUGUUUACGUAUUGGUUUACUCGGAGUGUGGUCGCUUCAUUUGGUUGCUUUUUUUUUGUACAUGGUCAAUGUUUGGUUCCCCAUCGGCGGUCUUGAUCGCCGCCGUCAAGAGAUUUCUUUAGGGAAGUGGCCUGUUGACUCUACGUAAGGCAAGUGCGUUGGCUUCUUGUUAUGCAUGCGACUGUCUCUGUCUGCUUGCGUACGUUUCUUUUUCUGCCUUGCUUACUACACUCGCUUCUUUCUUCUCUUCCUUUUUGUGAAGGCUACACUCUUACUGCUGAUUGUUCUUGUGCAUUUGAUGGUCUCAUGCCUGCUGCUCCGCUCGCCGGCGUGGGAUCUGCUUCCUCGGUGGCCCAGACGAUUCAUGGGUCGUCUGGUUAUCCUUUUUCUCUUCCUGCUGAUGUUCACCUUGAUCAUCGCUUGGUGGGUGCUCCGUCUGUUGUUAAUCGUUCCAAGGGUGUGCCUUUGCGUGUGGCCGGUGCUUUCGGUCGGCCUACUCCUCUUGGUGAGUUUAGGUUCUGAAACAUGCAUCUGCCACUGCCUUUCUUCUUUUCUUUUUUUGUUUGUGUUGGAUAUGGUUCUAAUUUGUAUAUGUGGCUGUUUUUUGAGUGAUGCCUACUCCUGUCCUGCAAUACUUUCGUAAGCGGGCGCUGAUGCGGAUUUGCAUGCGGGGAUCUCCUUUGCAUGCCUUUUUUUUUGCUUACGAUCCAGCGCGCCUUUUGUGUGUCCUUGUUUUAGAGGGGUUUUUUUGAGUAGUUUGGAUUGCUUAUCAUAUAUAUGUCACAUGGUGUUGUUUUAAGGGGUUCCAUAUAUAUAUUUUUAAUCCUGACUUGCAUGGCGGUUAGACGGUGUUGGUCUUCACGAUGGUUCUUGCGCCGCCGUGUGCAUCGACGCUUCUGGGCGCCGCUUUGCAGAUCGAUGCUUCUGAUCGCCACUUUGCAUGAUACUUCUGGUAGGGUUUGCCAUCUCCGAUUCGCUUCGCCACACGAAGCGGUGUUCUUCUUUCUUGGUGGGUAGGUCAUGGUGGUUCUUGCCGAAGUGGUGUCUGCCGCCGGGGCCGUCCAUACCUCGUCGGAGCCCCAACUGCCAGGAUGCAAUUCAUCUCUCGGCGCCGGUACAAUCUCCCCUACGCGGUCGAGUUGGCGGCGCACGCAUGAGAUAUCACCGACUACUGGUGGGAGCCAUCACCGACGACUUGCAGGAGGUGCAUGCGGAGGGCCUGAUAUGGUGGGUUUCAGUGCAGCAAUCUGGCCGAUGCUGCUAUCCUUAGCCGUUGGUCGCUGACUCUGCCGCAAACCCCUACGCCACCGCAAACAUGCCCAUGGCCGUCCCCGUUGGUGACGACUUCUCGCGGUUUGGCAGGGCAGCGGAGGCUACGAUAGGAGGGUUAGAGGUGGCGGUGGCGGUUGAGAGGCUAAAUCCAGGUUAAUGUCACGUCGCUCAAUCCAUUUAUUUUUUCCGCGCUGGUGGCUUCCGCUCUGGUGGUAGAGGAAGCAGGAAAGGGAGGGAUGGUUUGGGCCGGGCAUGCCUUAUAAUGUAUCUGUGCAGAUUAUAAUAUUUCCAUCAAUGACCAAAAUUAUUAUGCUCUUGAAGUUACAAAGGAAAGACUGUUCACAGCCAGAGAAAAUGCACAAGCAAAGCAAUGGCGAUUCAAUAUGGCCCGUCAGCAAGUAGCUACGCAGCAAAACAAGUUUACAAGACAAACAAUGAUUCUAGCAGCAAUGUGCAACAAUUUUUUUGAUAUAUUGCCACUCCGUAUGUACCCUCAGCGCCCAGGCAGCGAUGAUCCUAUCAUCACGUACACAGGCGCGCAUCCUCCUGUUGGACGUCUGUAAGAAUUUGCAAAAGCUCUGUACCACUUCAUCACCGGCGCCAAUCCUACAGGAGGAUACACCAGGAUGAUCUAAUCCAUCACAGACUGCUUCUAGCUUACUUAUAUGGCGUGGUUGUGUGGCUUACUUCUACAGCGUGGUUGUGUGGCUUACUUCUACAGCGUGGUUGUGUCUCUAUAUACAGUUCACCACAUAGAGUGGACUGCAUAUAAUUUGAAUAAUUAGUUUAUCUUAGAAGCGUGCCACUUCUAAAUAGUCUGUUUGUAUCCACAGAUUUGCAAGAUUUUAAUAAAUUCACAUCUCUAGUGUCUUCAAUAGCUCUAUAUAUCCGUCUGACUUUCUUGAAUUAAAAAGUAAAUGAGUAUGCAUUGAUUUAUUCUUAAAUCAAUAGACUACAUAUAUUCAUAAGUAAUCACCAAGCGCGGCGUGCUGCCGCGCGGGUUAGGCUAGUACGAACGAGGCGACAGAGGACAUCGAGCUCUCCUCCAGCGACUCGGACUAUGAAGGCGGUGGUAGCGGAGCAGGUUAGGUGAUGCCAGCGAUGAGGGCCAUGGCGGUAUGAUUGGAGGUUUACAGAAUCAGACUGGGAGAGGUUGGAGAACGAGAGCGAUAGUGAUAGCAAGUAAUUUUAGUAAGUUUGUAUGCAAUCUAGUCCAAAUUUUGUUCCCUUAAGUUAUCUAAAGUAUUUAUGUAAAAUAUUUUGAACCAAGUUUGAUGUAGUAGUUUGAACCAAAUUUGCACCGAACAUUUGAUGUAGUAGUUUGAACCAAGUUUGAUGUAGUAGUUUGAUGUAGUCCCUUGUUUUCAGAAACCACAAAUGUAAACUAGAGCCAAGCAUCAUCCGUAAUUUCAGACUGUUGGGCUGGUUAUGUAAUACAAUCAUCCUAUCUCGGCACAUGGCACACCUUUCUCACGCUCCUCACCUGCCCUAUCUCGGCAUGAGCCGCCGGCUGGAUCUGACCUCUUCAUCAUGGGGUUCAUGCAGGCAUAGAUAGAAAGAAAGCCGAUGGGGGCUGGACACUGUCACCAGCAUAUUUUCUUUAGUAUGAGCAGAUAUGUUAAUUUCUAUAGGUGUGAAAAAAGGGAAUAUAGUUCUUAGAACUUUCUAUAAAAUUCAGACAAGCCAGGCACAUGGUAAUCGUAUGGGCUAAACUAAGAAUGGUCUUUUAGAAUUUGAUAUGUUGUUCUAAAGAAAUUACAGGCUGGUUAAAUGUAUUAGUACAGAUGUUGAUCAAGUCUAAAAGGCCUCGCGUCGUGGCCUUAGGAACCACUCCAAAUCCCAUGACUUAAAUAUGAUGAUCUUGUACUUUU